RNAcentral lists this ribosomal RNA (650 nucleotides) under Escherichia coli. RNAcentral's name for it is "bacterial LSU rRNA". It matches the Rfam family "Bacterial large subunit ribosomal RNA", at positions 718 to 1364 of the family's 2925-position model. Lineage: Bacteria; Pseudomonadati; Pseudomonadota; Gammaproteobacteria; Enterobacterales; Enterobacteriaceae. The record is from RNAcentral.
AAACCCGGUGAUCUAGCCAUGGGCAGGUUGAAGGUUGGGUAACACUAACUGGAGGACCGAACCGACUAAUGUUGAAAAAUUAGCGGAUGACUUGUGGCUGGGGGGGAAAGGCCAAUCAAACCGGGAGAUAGCUGGUUCUCCCCGAAAGCUAUUUAGGUAGCGCCUCGUGAAUUCAUCUCCGGGGGUAGAGCACUGUUUCGGCAAGGGGGUCAUCCCGACUUACCAACCCGAUGCAAACUGCGAAUACCGGAGAAUGUUAUCACGGGAGACACACGGCGGGUGCUAACGUCCGUCGUGAAGAGGGAAACAACCCAGACCGCCAGCUAAGGUCCCAAAGUCAUGGUUAAGUGGGAAACGAUGUGGGAAGGCCCAGACAGCCAGGAUGUUGGCUUAGAAGCAGCCAUCAUUUAAAGAAAGCGUAAUAGCUCACUGGUCGAGUCGGCCUGCGCGGAAGAUGUAACGGGGCUAAACCAUGCACCGAAGCUGCGGCAGCGACGCUGAUGCGUUGUUGGGUAGGGGAGCGUUCUGUAAGCCUGCGAAGGUGUGCUGUGAGGCAUGCUGGAGGUAUCAGAAGUGCGAAUGCUGACAUAAGUAACGAUAAAGCGGGUGAAAAGCCCGCUCGCCGGAAGACCAAGGGUUCCUGUCCAACG